Molecule: long non-coding RNA, 623 nt
Organism: Cimex lectularius (bed bug)
Lineage: Eukaryota; Metazoa; Arthropoda; Insecta; Hemiptera; Cimicidae
Exons: 2
Source: RefSeq, a predicted model, not a curated record
CUCUCAUCUCAAAAUUUUUAUCCGGAGUCGGUUGGAUUUUGAGAAAACUUUUGGUUGUCUGUCUCACCACAUUUGAUUGAUGAUCCGAGGUUGCUGUUGAUGAUACCCUCCAUCUAACAACUUGACAUUACCCUUAGCCCAGUUCUUGAUGAAUUUCCCCCUCCAACAACAUCUGUUGCUGAAGCUGUUAAAACGUGGGCAUUAGUUGAGCUGAGAACAACUUUAAGAGUGGUGAGGAAAUCAUGUUGCUGAGAAGGAUAAGAGAAAGAGCUGAAAUAUCAACAUUUGGAAACGAUCGUUCAAUAGAAAAUUACUGAAUUUUUAUGACUGCAUAAUUAAUACUUGGUUACAAUAUGUUGUACAUAUGUAUCUAUAAAAUGUGCAAUCUAUAAUUGUUGUAUUAAUAAAAAGCUAUAGAUAAUCUGAAUGAUUUGAUAAUCCAAACAACUCCUUUCCCUAAUUUCAUUUUGUACAAGCAAGUUGUGAUGAUAUCACGCCAGUACAACUAAGAAAUGUUGAAAUGGGAUUUCUAUAACAGGAUGGGCUACUACACUGCGCUUGAAGAGGACGAUUUCAAACAUCUCAUUUGACUUCAUAUAUCAUAAUUAAAACCCGGAUUUAUA